CAGUCGCCGCGGUAAUACGCAGGUGGCAAGCGUUGUCCGGAAUUAUUGGGCGUAAAGCGCGCGCAGGUGGUUUAAUAAGUCUGAUGUGAAAGCCCACGGCUCAACCGUGGAGGGUCAUUGGAAACUGUUAAACUUGAGUGCAGGAGAGAAAAGUGGAAUUCCUAGUGUAGCGGUGAAAUGCGUAGAGAUUAGGAGGAACACCAGUGGCGAAGGCGGCUUUUUGGCCUGUAACUGACACUGAGGCGCGAAAGCGUGGGGAGCAAACAGGAUUAGAUACCCCCGUAGUCCCUGUCUCUUAUAC
RNAcentral lists this ribosomal RNA (301 nucleotides) under uncultured bacterium. RNAcentral's name for it is "partial 16S ribosomal RNA". It matches the Rfam family "Bacterial small subunit ribosomal RNA", at positions 509 to 807 of the family's 1533-position model. The record is from RNAcentral.